AGACGAAAACCACAUCACACGCCAGCGAGACUGUGGCGGAACGACACACACUCAUGCAACGCUUCACAGAGGGUUGCAUGAGAACCUGGGCUCCAGCCUGACCCAGUCAGCCGGUUCUGGACACGCUGCCGGAGCAGAAUGGAAACGGCAACACAGAACCAGGCUCCCAAGGUGAGACUGGAUAUCCAGGAAGGAUGAAGGAAGUUUGGUGGUGUUCUGGGUCUCGGUUUCUUGGAAUGACUCAGCAUCACGUUGGGAGACAGCUCCUCAAGUUGAGUGACGGCAAUGGGUGCUUUUAACAGGACCGUUGGACAGGAGCCCUCAUCUUCAUCUGGUAAACACACACUCUCACCGUCAGGACAACAUGCUUUUCGAUAUCCAUGCUGAGCCUGAACAAAUGCUCACGGCCCGCGGACAGUCCCCGCCCAAACACACCCGCAACACCCCCACAGAGGAAGUGAGAUUAGCUUUCUGCUGCUGCUGUAAUUCACUCAUCCCUCUCCGCCUGAGGCCAAACGGCGCUGUGCCUGUACUUCA
Molecule: long non-coding RNA, 537 nt
Organism: Pungitius pungitius (ninespine stickleback)
Lineage: Eukaryota; Metazoa; Chordata; Actinopteri; Perciformes; Gasterosteidae
Exons: 3
Source: RefSeq, a predicted model, not a curated record